AUGGCAGAUGGCAUCUCCCAGAGUGAGGGAUAUAAAAGAGAGGGCUGAACUUUGGGGACACACGUAUUGUGGGUCAAAAUGCCUUCCCCAAUUCCAACUCAUUAGGUUUUACGGAACUAUGAGAACCAUAUCCCUUUUCUCCUUGUCAUGGUUACAGUCACCCUGUAUAUGGCAAGUGGAAGAGACAAUGGAAUGGAGGACAUUUAUUUGUCUGUGAUGGGUUUCUGAUCAAGAAUCAGAAGAAGCAUCAAGAAUCUAGUUUGGGUGGACUCCGACCAGCUCCUCUGUCAGCAUUUUUUUGACGCAGUUCAGAGCAAAUAAUACCCAAAUCUUAUGGCUUACGAAAACUGGUGAAACUGAAAUAAGGCUUGAUGACAAUGCAAUGCAAUUUGGACACAGUUUCUGAGACGCCAAUUCUAGAUGGCCUUUAUAGACUGCAAUUAUAAUCCAAGCGGAAUAGGACAGAAGAAACCUUUAUACCUCAUUAGAACCUGGGAGAUGAUAAGAAAUUGAGGAAUUACAGCCUCUCAUGGAAUAUAAGGAGGUUUCUCCAUGGGGAAGACAGCAUCCACUUUUUAAAGCCUUUGGCCUCAAAGGGACAUAAAGUUUUUAAGGAGAAACUGCAUUUUUGUCAAACCCAGGUUUGUUAUUUGGGGCACAUGACCCAAAUGGGCUUCAUGGUAUUGUGAAUUUCCAACCCAAAAUCAAAUACUGGCUAUUGCUGAAAGUGGGUUGUCUGGCUAUUGUUGAAACUGGAUUCCAAAAUUUUCUCUCAUGGCUAGGUCUUUAUAUGCCUUACUAAGAACAUCAAAUCUGACUCUAUUACUUGGGAAGAUUAGGAUAACCUAGCUAUUAAUACCUUAAAGAAUAGCUUGAAAAAUCUUUCUGUCACUGGACUCCCUAAUUAUCAAAUUCCCUUUUUUGCUUUUCAUAUAUGAGAAGAAAGGAUGUACUUUUGGACUACUUACCCAAAAUCAUGGGGAUCACUAUUGCCCCAUAGACUACCACAGUCAGCAGCUAGACCCUGUGACAUGGGGAUAUCUCCUUUCCUCAGAACCAUUCCUGCUAUUGUCCUCUAAGUUAGGGCCAUUGAAGAAAUAGUGGUGAUAUCCCUCGUAGCCAUUUUUGUAACCCAUUCAGUUAAAGCCCUCCAGAAUUCUCAUCAUACUCAAUACCAUUUGGCCAGUAAUUUAAACUCCUAUGCAAUCCUCUCACAGUUCUUUCUCACUGUAAUAACUUCAACACUGCCACACAUCUUUUCUGUUCAGAAUAUAAUACUCUUGAUAACUGUUGGCCAGGACACAUGGUCUUUAGACCCCUGGAGAUGAUUCAUGGGAAACUCCUCUAACCAAUGCUGAGUUUUCAUAGUUUACUGAUGGUUCUUAUUUAAAGGGAAAAAAAAA
Molecule: long non-coding RNA, 1403 nt
Filed under: Sus scrofa (pig)
Lineage: Eukaryota; Metazoa; Chordata; Mammalia; Artiodactyla; Suidae
Description: lncRNA (ENSSSCG00050012255.1)
Source: RNAcentral